UACGUAGGGUGCGAGCGUUAAUCGGAAUUACUGGGCGUAAAGCGUGCGCAGGCGGUUUUGUAAGCCAGAUGUGAAAGCCCCGGGCUUAACCUGGGAAUGGCAUUUGGGACUGCAAGGCUUGAGUGCGGCAGAGGAGACUGGAAUUCCUGGUGUAGCAGUGAAAUGCGUAGAUAUCAGGAGGAACACCGGUGGCGAAGGCGGGUCUCUGGGCCGAUACUGACGCUGAGGAGCGAAAGCGUGGGGAGCGAACAGG
This 253-nucleotide ribosomal RNA is filed under the name uncultured bacterium. Its description in RNAcentral is "partial 16S ribosomal RNA". It matches the Rfam family "Bacterial small subunit ribosomal RNA", at positions 524 to 776 of the family's 1533-position model. The record is from RNAcentral.